GGACCAGUGCCCCGAGCGGCAAAGGGAGCGGCCUCUUAAGCCGUGGCUUCACAGCUUCGUCGGUUCGAGUCCGACCUGGUCUACCA
Molecule: transfer RNA, 86 nt
Filed under: Escherichia coli
Lineage: Bacteria; Pseudomonadati; Pseudomonadota; Gammaproteobacteria; Enterobacterales; Enterobacteriaceae
Description: tRNA-Lys
Rfam family: tRNA
About the family: Transfer RNA (tRNA) molecules are approximately 80 nucleotides in length. Their secondary structure includes four short double-helical elements and three loops (D, anti-codon, and T loops). Further hydrogen bonds mediate the characteristic L-shaped molecular structure. tRNAs have two regions of fundamental functional importance: the anti-codon, which is responsible for specific mRNA codon recognition, and the 3' end, to which the tRNAs corresponding amino acid is attached (by aminoacyl-tRNA synthetases). tRNAs cope with the degeneracy of the genetic code in two manners: having more than one tRNA (with a specific anti-codon) for a particular amino acid; and 'wobble' base-pairing, i.e. permitting non-standard base-pairing at the 3rd anti-codon position.
Source: RNAcentral